AUGAUAAAAAUAUUUUUGCAUUAUAUAUGUUUGAUAUGCUAUGAUUCAGACAAAGCAAAAUAGUUUUAUAUUUAAUUAUAUUUUGAUCGUGUUGGCUUGUAAUUGGUAGUAUGAUGGAUGCAUGUAUGUGUAUAACUUAUACCUGCAUAAUUGAAUUUAUGAAUGUGGUGGUAUGGACUAACCAUGUUAUAUUGGUUGCCCUGUCACGGGCCGGAAACGUGACCAUGGUUAGUCUAGGCCGGAUAUAAGAUGGAAAAGAAUUGAUGUGUGUAUGUGAAUUGGUUAAAUGAGUAGAAACUUUGAGCUUAUCUCGUUAGUAUUGAUUGCCCCAUCACAGGCUGGAAAUGUGAUAGUAUCGAUUGCCCCGUCACAGGCCGGAAAUGUGAUAUUAUCGAUUGCCCCGUCAC
This 407-nucleotide long non-coding RNA is filed under the name Phoenix dactylifera (date palm). Its description in RNAcentral is "long non-coding RNA (PDAC_LNC022850)". Lineage: Eukaryota; Viridiplantae; Streptophyta; Magnoliopsida; Arecales; Arecaceae. The record is from RNAcentral.